This 25-nucleotide unclassified non-coding RNA is filed under the name Mus musculus (house mouse). RNAcentral describes it as "oocyte_clustered_small_RNA7434". Lineage: Eukaryota; Metazoa; Chordata; Mammalia; Rodentia; Muridae. The record is from RNAcentral.
UGUGAUGGCGAUUGCACUGAAUCUG